UUAAUUAAAACCAAAAAGAGGUAUAUCACCGUUAAUGAUACCACUGAACCUAAAUUCUAAUUAAA
Molecule: transfer RNA, 65 nt
Filed under: Diplectrona albofasciata
Lineage: Eukaryota; Metazoa; Arthropoda; Insecta; Trichoptera; Hydropsychidae
Description: tRNA-Asn
Source: RNAcentral